Long non-coding RNA from Dreissena polymorpha, 537 nucleotides. RefSeq lists it as uncharacterized. The transcript has 3 exons. The record is from RefSeq and is a predicted model, not a curated record. NCBI's taxonomy places the organism in Eukaryota, Metazoa, Mollusca, Bivalvia, Myida, Dreissenidae.
UUAAAGAUUGCCGGAUUGGAACCUACGGACCUAAUUGUGUACAAAGAUGUCAAUGUCUGGAAGGACCUUGUGAAACUGUAACCGGUUCCUGUAGAACAGGAUGCCAGAGAGGCUGGACAGGAGCCGCGUGCAAUCAAACCUGCGACAACGGAUGGCACGGUCAGGGAUGUCUUACACAAUGUGGUCAAUGUCUGAACAACGCUACCUGUAAUAAGACUUCCGGUGUGUGUCCAGAUGGAUGUGCUGCAGGAUACAAUGGUUCUCUCUGCAUAGAAAAAUGUGAUGACGGAUUGCAUGGCCUUCGAUGUCAGAACAAUUGUGGUAAUUGUCAGAACAAGGUGCCCUGCAACAAGGUUUCCGGACUCUGCCCUGGAGAAUGUGAACCCGGAUAUAACGGGACUAUGUGCAAAGACGGUAAAUUAUAAAUAAAUGUAAAAUUAAUUUGUGGGUUGAGCGUCCCUCUAUACAAAUGCAGUAGUCAUAUUUUAAGACACACAGAGAAAUAUAUAACUGCACGAAAUUGUUGGCCCAAAAAGA